This is a long non-coding RNA of Acanthopagrus latus (yellowfin seabream), 932 nucleotides long. RefSeq lists it as uncharacterized. The record is from RefSeq and is a predicted model, not a curated record. NCBI's taxonomy places the organism in Eukaryota, Metazoa, Chordata, Actinopteri, Spariformes, Sparidae. The transcript is spliced from 3 exons.
UGACAAUAAAACAAGAAGGACACACAUUAGACACAUUACAACACUGUGGAGAGGGCAUCACGUCACUCAUUACUGUUAUUUCUAAUGAACAUUUACUGAAAGAUUAACAUCAGUCGUGUUUUCUGCAGAUGGGUUCUGUAAACGUACUCACAUAAUGUUAGCUACGAGCUGCUGCACUGGUCUCCUCUUGGGGUUCAGGCAAUAGCGAUAUCCGCUGUUGGUGGUGACACUGUUGAAAUGGAAAGUAGAGAAGACGGUUGCUUGGAAGAUCUGGACAUCCUUUACGUCAGAGGUAUCCAACCUCUUGACACUUGAGCACAGACACUGCUUUCCUGAUCCAAGUUCUGGAGAGAAAUACAAAGGUUGAUGUGACUGUCAUGGCAGAGUCUCCUUCAGCACCUGAUGUGUCUGUAAUGAUGAAAGACAAAGCGAGUGUAUGGUCACAUUGAGCCGGGAACUGCCCCUAAUCACCCUGUAAGUCAGGAAAUGACACAGACCUACUAAAAAUGAAGAUUGUGUCUGAAUGGGCCUGAGUACAUAUGAUUGUGAGUAUGCCUCUGGCCUGAAUCUUACAUCAAAAACCAAAAAACUUUGGGAUAUUAGGACUGACUGAUAUUUUCAGGAGUUUCUCCUGACUUGAGCUUCUUGCCAAUUCAAUAUUGCAUGAGAUGUAUUUCUUGCAUUGGCAGGCCUGAACCACAAGGUUACACUGUUGACAUAUGACACAGUAUCGGAAAAAAGGAGCAGAUAACAAUGAGUCGAUGCUUUUUUGAUUAUGUCUUUUAUUAUAAAAAACUGGAAUGAACAAAACACUUGGUUCACAGCACAUGAAUGUAUUUACAGAAGUCAAAGGAAAUAAAACGGAGAUAUACUGUAUGUGCACAAAAGUAUAAAUACAAGAUAAAUAAUAAAAAAAAGCUUCAUUCAGUUCA